This 267-nucleotide long non-coding RNA is filed under the name Hordeum vulgare. Its description in RNAcentral is "long non-coding RNA (HVUL_LNC013341)". The record is from RNAcentral. Lineage: Eukaryota; Viridiplantae; Streptophyta; Magnoliopsida; Poales; Poaceae.
CGAAUGUUGUUAGGAGUCCCGAUAAGAUCACGGACAUCACGAGGGUUUCCGGAAUGGUCCGAAAACGAAGAUUGAUGUAUAGGAUGGUUUCAUUUGGUCACCGGAAAGUUUCGGGCAUUUCCGGGAGUGACGAAUUGGUUCCGGGUAUUCACCGGGAGGGGCCCACCCACCCGGGAGUGAGCCCAGUGACCCUAGGAUGGCGCCCAAGCCCUUGUGGGAUGGUAAGGCCGGCUCAAUAGGGCUAUGGCGCCACAAGUGAAAAAACAC